GAAAAACAGGUGCCUGUGUUAAAAGUCAGGUGAAGUAAAAAGAGAAUUAGAUUAGGUGUCUUAGUCUGUUUAGUGUUGCUAUAAAGGAAUACCUGAGGCUGGGUAAUUUAUAAAGAAAAGAGGUUUAUUUGGCUCACGGUUCUGCAGACUGUACAAGAAGCAUGGCACCAGCAUCUGCUUCUGAUGAGAGCCUCAGGCUGCUUCCACUCAUGGCAGAAGGAGAAGGGGAGCCAGUGUAUGCAGAGAUCACAUGGUGAGAGAGGAAGUAAGAGAGAGAAGGGAGAUGCCAGGAUCUUUUUAACAAUCAGCUUUCUCAGGAAAGAACAGAGUGAGAACUCAGUCACUCUCACUCUCCAGGGAGGACAUUAAUCUAUUCAUGAGGGGUCUGCCCCCAUGACCCAAACACCCCCCAUUAGGCCCUACCUCCAACACUGAGGAUUAAAUUUCAACAUGAGAUUUGGAGGGGUCAAACAUACACACUAUAGCACUAAACUCUAAUUUGAAAGGGAAUACACUUUCAAGACUAAAAUACAUUUUCUUUUUUUUUUUUUUUUUUUUUUUUUUGAGAUGGAGUCUUGCUCUGUCGCCCAGGCUGGAGUGCAGUGGCGUGAUCUCAGCUCACUGGAAUCUCCACCUCCUGGGUUCACACCAUUCUCCUGCUUCAGCCUCCGAACAGCUGGGACUACAGGCACCCGCCACCAUGUCGGCUAAUUUUUUGUAUUUUUAGUAGAGAUGGGGUUUCACCAUGUUAGCCAGAAUGGACUCGAUCUCCUGACCUCGUGAUCCACUCGCCUCAGCCUCCCACAGUGCUGGGAUUACAGGCGUGAGCCACCGCGCCUGGCCUGACUAAAAUACAUUUUCAAGACUAAAAGCUAAGAACAAAGAUUUAGAGAUUUGAUACAGCAUUUGUAGAGAGGGCUUUUAGAGUGAUCUCAACCUGAUGUAACUGGCUGUGAAAUGUAAUUCUUCCAGGAUGAAAGGUGAAGAUCAGUAUGCAUACAUGUAUUUAUCUACAGUAUAUACACAUAAUACAUAGUAAAGAAUUAAGCUUCAGUAACCUGUAAAAUUUGCCUAAGUAGAAUACUGAUUUUGCAGAGAUAUGGGCUAAGUAAGAUACUAUCCUACACAUAAACACACGCAGAUGAUAGAAUGAAGUUAAAAACUGUUUCCAUUCUUCUUCUACACCUUAUAUAUUCAUGUCUAUAACAGCCCAUAACACACUGUUUACAUGUCUGACUUGCCCAACAGACUGUGAAGUCCUUAAGUCUAGCAGGGUGCUACAUUCAUUUAUUAUUCAGUAAAUAAAUGUUGAGCCAAACUGAAGUUACAGGAGAGAAGCAGAAAUCAUCAUGGAUUCACACAAGAGUGGGAGGGAUUUUUUUUUUUUUUUUUUUGAGAUGGAGUUUCACUCUUGUCGCCCAGGCUGGAGUACAAUGGCGUGAUCUCAGCUCACUGCAACCUCCACCUCCUGGGUUCAAGCAGUUCUCAUGACUCAGCCUCCCAAGUACCUGGGAUUAAAGGCACGUGCCACCACACCUGGCUAAUUUUUGUAUUUUUAGUAGAGACGGGGUUUCACCAUAUUGGCCAGGCUGGUCUUGAGCUCCUCCCCUCAGGUGAUCCACCCACCUCAACCUCCCGAAGUGCUGGGAUUACAGGUGUGAGCCACCACGACCAGGCCGGGAGGGCUUUCUAGAGAGUAUAGGAGCCUCAAAGAAAGAUAGGAGCUGGCUAGGAAGAAAAUAGGGAAAAGAAAACUCCAAGUCAAGGAGGAGCAUAUCAAGAAUAAAAGAAAGUCAGCCGGGCAUGGUGGCUCACACCUGUAAUCUCAGCACUUUGGGAGCCCAAGGUGGGUGGAUCACAAGGUCAGGAGUUCAAGACCAGCCUGGCCAACAUAGUGAAACCUCUUCUCUACUAAAAAUACAAAAAUUAGCCAGGUGUGGUGGCACGUGCCUGUAGUCCCAGCUAUGAUACUCAGGAGGCUGAAGCAGGAGAAUACCUUGAACCUGGCAAGCAGAGGUUGCAGUGAGCCGAGACCACGCCAUUGCACUCCAGCCUGGGUGACAGAGUGAGACUCCAUCUCAAAAAAAAAGAAUAUCACGCCUGUAAUCCCAGCACUUUGGGAGGCCGAGGCGGGUGGAUCACGAGGUCAGGAGAUCGAGACCAUCCCGGCUAAAACGGUGAAACCCCGUCUCUACUAAAAAUACAAAAAAUUAGCCGGGCGUAGUGGCGGGCGCCUGUAGUCCCAGCUACUUGGGAGGCUGAGGCAGGAGAAUGGCGUGAACCCGGGAGGCGGAACUUGCAGUGAGCCGAGAUCCCGCCACUGCACUCCACCUCUAUCUCCCAGAAUCAAGGGAUUCUCCCGCCUCAGCUUCCUGAGUAGCCUGCAUGCCACCAUGCCCAGCUAUUUUUUUUAUUUUUAUUUUUAGUAGAGACAGAGUCUCACUAUGUUGCUCAGACUGGUCUCGAACUGCUGGGCUCAAGCAAUCCUUCUGCCUCAGCCUCCCAAAGUGCUUGGAUUACAGGGUGAGUUACCCUGCCCAGCUGACUUCUCUACAUUUGUGAAGUCACUAAAAUGACCUCAGCCUUGGUUUUCUCUAUAUAAUAGCAGAACUAGGAUCAAUCCAACCACUUACCUUCUACAUUCCUACAUGCAGGCUGCUGAGUACUGCUCCAGAAAAGAACACAACUGUGCCGACUGUCACCAAUCCAAUUCAUGUUUCUAAACUCAGCAGUUUUGUAAUCCUUUCACCCCUCCCAUUCCCCACAGCAGCUGGUUCUCAUGCCAUCUAUCCUGCCAUCAAAAUCUCCUUCCUUCAUAAUAGCCAAAAACUAGAAAUAUGUGUCCAUUAAUUGAUGAAUGGAUAAACAAAAUGUAGUAUAUCCAUACAACAGAGUAUUACCGGGCCACAAAAAGGAACGAAGUACUGAUAAAAACAACAAAUAGAAACAUUAUACUAAGUUGCCUGUAAUCCCAGCACUUUGGGAGGCCGAGGUGGGAGGAUCACUUGAGGCCAAGAGUUCAAGACCAGCCUGGCCAACAUGUCGAAACCUCGUUCGUCUCUACUGAAAAUACAAAAAUUACCCGGGUGUGGUGGCAGGCGCCUGUAAUCCCAACUACUCAGGAGGCUGAGGCACAAAAAUCACUUGAACCUGGGAGGUGAAGGCUGCAGUGAGGAGCCGAGAUUGUGCCACUAUACUUCAGCCUAGACGACACAGUGAGACUCUCAAAAAAAAAAGAAAGAAAGAAACAUUAUACUAAGUGAAAGAAGUCACACAAAAGGCCAUGUAUUUUAUGAUUCCAUUUAUAUGAAAUGUCCAAAGUAGGCAAAUCCACAGAGCUAGAAAGUAAACUAGUGGUUGCUAGGAUUGGGGGGUGGAAAGUGACUGUUAAUGGGUAUAGACUGUUUUGGGGGUGAUACUAGAAAUAAUAUAUGUAAAGUAACUAGCACAUAGAUAGCACACAUUUUUAUCUCAAUAAAGCUGUUAUUUAAAAACAAAAACAAGAAACAAGAUGGUGGAUCACACCUAGAGUCCCAGCUACUUGGGAGGCUGAGGGAGGAUCACUGGAGACCAGGAGUUCAAAUUCAGCACCUGGGAAACACAGCGAGACCCCAUGUAUUAAAAAAUAAACACAGGAGUUCAAGACCAGCCUGGGCAACAUAGUGAGACCUUGUCUCUACAAAAAAUUUAAAAAAUUAGCCAGGUAUGGUAGUGCAUGACUGUGGUCCCAGCUACUGAGGAGGCUGAAGUGGGAGGAUCUCUUGAACCCAGGAGAUCAAGGCUGCAGUAAGCCAUAAUCAUGCAACUGUACUCCAGCCUGGGCAACAGGGCAAGACCCUGUCUCAAAAAAAUAAGAACAGGCCAGGCACAGUGGCUCACGCCUGUAAUCCCAGCACUUUGGGAGGCCGAGGUGGGCGGAUCUCAAGGUCAGGAGUUCGAGACCAUCCUGCUUAACACGGUGAAACCCCGUCUCUACUAAAAAUACAAAAAAAUUAGCUGGGCGUGGUGGCGGACACCUGUAAUCCCAGCUACUUCGGAGGCUGAGGCAGAAGAAUGGCAUGAACCUGGAAGGCGGAGCUUGCAGUGAGCCGAGAACAUGCCACUGCACUCCAGCCUGGGCAACAGAGCGAGACUCCGUCUCAAAAAAAUUAGCCAGGCGUGGUGGCGCAUGUCUGAAAUCCCAGCUACUUGGGAGGCUGAGGCAGGAGAAUCGCUUGAAUCCAGGAGGUGGAGGUUGCAGUGAGCGGAGAUCGCACCACUGCACUCCAGCCUGGGCGACAAGAGCGAAACUCCAUCUCAAAAAUAAAUAAAUAAAUAAAUAAAUAAUAAAAAUAAAAAUAAACACACACAGAAACAAAAACCACCCUCCUCCUUAAGAGUUGACAUCAUUAACUCCAAUUCAUAAAGAAAACUGAAUCUACAAGUUACCUUCAAAAAAAAAAAAAAAAAAGUGCAGGCACGGUGCCUCACGCCUGUAAUCCCAGCACUUUGGGAGGCCAGGGAGCGGAUCACGAGGUCAGGAGAUGGAGACCAUCCUGACUAACACAGUGAAACCCCAUCUCUACUAAAAAUACAAAAAAUUGCGGGGCACAGUGGCUCACGCCUGUAAUCCCAGCACUUUGGGAGGCUGAGGCAGGCGGGUCACCUGAGGUUGGGAGUUCGAGACCAGCCUGACCAACAUGGAGAAACUCUGUCUCUAUUAAAAAAAAAAAAUACAAAAUUAGCCAGGCAUGGUGGCACAUGCUUGUAAUCCCAGCUACUCGGGAGGCUGAGGCAGGAGAAUUGCUUGAAUCUGGGAGGCGGAGGUUGCAGUGAGCCAAGAUGGCACCAUUGCACUUCAGCCUGGACAACAAGAGCAAAGCUCCAUCUCAAAAAAAAAUACAAAAAAUUAGCCGUGCAUGGUAGCACGCGCCUGUAGUCCUAGCUACUUGGGAGGCUGAGGCUGGAGAAUUGCUUGAACCCAGGAGGCAGAGGUUGCAGUGAGCCAAGAUUGCACCACUGCACUCCAGCCUGGGCAACAGAGUGAGACUCCAUCUCAAAAACAAACAAACAAACAAACAAAAAAACUCCUUGGUUGUUGAAGGUAGCUUGGUAAUUUAAAACAACAACAACAACAACAACAUUAAGUUUGUUGCUUUGUAAAGACUUGAUAAUGUUUUUUUAAAACUGUUUUAGGCCGGGGGCAGUGGCUCACACCUGUAACCCCAGCACUUUGGGAGGCCAAGGCGGGCGGAUCACUUGAGCUCAGGAGUUCAAGACCAGCCUGGCCAACAUGGUGAAACCCUGUCUCUACUAAAAAUACAAAAAUUAGCUGGGCAUGGUAGUAGUCCCAGCUGUAGUCCCAGCUAUUCAGGAGGCUGAGGCACAAGAAUCCCUUGAACCUAGGACUGGAGGUUGCAGUGAGCUGAGAUCAUGCCACUGCAUUCCAGCCUAGGUGACAGAGCUAGAUUCUGUUUAAAAAAUACUGCUUUAAUAGUAUGUAUCGGCAAGAAAAAUGCAAAAUAUUAGGGAAAAGAUCUAAAAAAAUAUAAACCCCAGUUGAUGUUUUGCUCUUAGAUUGCUUUUUUAGCCUAAGUAAAGAUUUGCCUUGCUUUAAAGAAACUGUGCCUUUUGGUUACAGUUUAUUACAAGAUAGCCAAGGUCCUUGUAAUAAUAAGUGGACUAAUAAAGAGAAGGUGAAUUUUAAUGUAUGUUUAUAUAUUUUAGUUAAAAUAAAAUGUAGGUCUUUUGUGUAUUUUUAUUUUAUUUAUUUAUUUAUUUAGAGAUGGAGUUUCGCUCUUGUUGCCCAGGCUGGAGUGCAAUGGCACGAUCUCCACUCACUGCAACCUCCACCUGCUGGGUUUAAGCGAUUCUCCUGCCUCAGCCUUCCGAGUAGCUGGGAUUACAGGCAUGCACCACCACGCCCAGGUAAUUUUUUGUAUUUUUAGUAGAAACAGGGCUUCACCAUGUUAGCCAGGCUGGUCUCAAACUCUUGACCUCAGGUGAUCCGCCCGCCACAGCCUCCUAAAGUGCUAGGAUCACAGGCGUGAGCUGCUGUGCCUGGCUUUUUUUUUUUUUUUUUUUUUUUUUUUUUUCGAGACAGAGUCUUGCUCAGUCAUCCAAGCUGGAAUGCGGUGGCACUAUCUGGUC
This 6129-nucleotide long non-coding RNA is filed under the name Homo sapiens (human). RNAcentral describes it as "HSALNT0178151". The record is from RNAcentral. Lineage: Eukaryota; Metazoa; Chordata; Mammalia; Primates; Hominidae.